Long non-coding RNA from Erinaceus europaeus (western European hedgehog), 165 nucleotides. RefSeq lists it as uncharacterized. The record is from RefSeq and is a predicted model, not a curated record. Lineage: Eukaryota; Metazoa; Chordata; Mammalia; Eulipotyphla; Erinaceidae. The transcript is spliced from 2 exons.
CAGGUAAUUUCACACCUGAAUUCUGGGCACACCCAUGAUGCUCCUGUCUGAAAAGGGGCAAGAUGACACACCUGGGCCACCUGCAGACCGAGGAGAGGCAGAGGGGCAGCUGGGAAGGCUCAUAGGAGUAAGGACAAAGAGAAAUGAAGAUAGGAGGGGAAGACA